Hordeum vulgare subsp. vulgare (domesticated barley) is the source of this 1643-nucleotide RNA transcript. RefSeq lists it as uncharacterized. NCBI's taxonomy places the organism in Eukaryota, Viridiplantae, Streptophyta, Magnoliopsida, Poales, Poaceae. The record is from RefSeq and is a predicted model, not a curated record. The transcript has 4 exons.
AAAGUAUCACUGAUUAAAUAGAUACUUAUAUACCUAAAAAUAACUUUUUGAAAAAAUAAAAAGCAAACUACUAGAAAGUUGUUGCUCGAAUUUGAUCAACUUCUAGCUAAACGGAUAGGAACCCGUUUAAAUGGCCAAAAAUAACUAGAAAUAUAAAAAAUGAAUACAAGUUGGUGAUCAUCCAUAAAAUUUGUUCCAAAUUGACAGAAAAAUUUAACGGUGCCAAUUUGCAAAAUAUUUUUGAUAGCACAUUCACAAACCACUAUAUUUUUAGCAAUUAAAAAAAGUAUUUUAGACCACAGACGUUUGAAACUAAUAACGACUCUUCCCACGAAUCACUGAACUGUAGCCGAUAACCUUCCACACAUGAUAGAUCCAACAUCUAUGACUCACCUCUCAACAGCCCGACCCAAACCCUACCAGCUCUCCUCCCUGCAUCCCCUCCAUUCUCGAGAACAUGCGAGCCGCCGCCUCCUUCUGCCCGAUCUCUCACCUCGCUUUGCUCCCGAACCCUCACCACCAACAGAUCGACCAACUCUGCCCCGGCGAUGGACUCCACCUCGCUCGCCGCCCCCACCCACCUGCCCUCUCUCCUGCGACGUCGCCUAGGGUCACGUCUUGGAUCUGUCCACGAAGAAGGCACCGGGAGAGGAGGAGGGGGCGGUAACAGUGGCCUUCCGGAUCUGAGGAGAAGAAGGUCCGACGGAUGGGCUCGCUCUCUGGCUGCGCCCCGAGCAAUCGUCGACUUACGGGGCGAGGAGGAUUCUCGCACCGUCGUGGCCGCCUCAGGGACACCUCGCCGUCGGCUGCCGCCCGAGCGCGAUUGCCUCACCGCCGUGGUCGCCUCGCGCGCGCCCCGGUGUUGCGUGUCGUGCCGCCACCAUGUUCCAGAAGCUUAACACCGUCGGCGAGUCCCUCCCUCUGGCCCGACCCUGUGCUCUGGAACCUUGUGGCGCUGAUUAUCUAUGGUGGGACCAACGCACGUCCGGUCGCCCUUCAAGACCAGACAAACUAGCCAGCUAACUUUGGAAUUCACCGGUCGGAAAACCGGCGAUCCGACCAUGUACGAGGUGUUCUGGAGGGAGGUCGGGGAGCGGGUGGCCAAGAUAUGGUGAAAUAGGUACACUAUGAAGCUAAAAAUAGCGAGCGGCGAAGAGAUGGAGAAGUAUGACGAUGUGUCUGAUGAUGGUUUCUCUCUCCACUUCUUUCCCGUCUUUUGAGGAGGGCAUUCAGUUUCUGAAUGAUGGGGAGCAGCAGCAGGUGCAGAUCAUGGAAGCAGAGCCGCAUCUUCUGCUGUGUGUCAAGAAGUGGUGCCAAACUGACAGGUACGAGAGCAAUGACGCAGGCGACCAACUCGGUGAUGUUGACGCCUUGACGGCGAUGGCGGGAAGUGGAGGGAGUGGCCAGACGAGUUACAACCCUCCUCAUGAUUCGUUGAUUUGUUAUCCAUUCAUAUCAUCCCCAAGACAAAAUGAGAAUCAUUUGAAUUUGUCCUAUGUCGGGUUGUUAUGGUGACCGUUUUUUAGAAAAUAAUUUUCAUAGAAUGGGUCUUUAUGUUCACUAGCCUUAGGACUAAUGUUAGCUGGUGGACAUUCACUUGAUACACAAAAUCCAAGAAAAAUAAAAUCUGGAUUACAAGACCA